Molecule: ribosomal RNA, 513 nt
Filed under: uncultured bacterium
Lineage: Bacteria
Description: partial 16S ribosomal RNA
Rfam family: Bacterial small subunit ribosomal RNA
Source: RNAcentral
GACGAACGCUGGCGGCGUGCCUAAUACAUGCAAGUUGAGCGCUGAAGGUUGGUACUUGUACCGACUGGAUGAGCAGCGAACGGGUGAGUAACGCGUGGGGAAUCUGCCUUUGAGCGGGGGACAACAUUUGGAAACGAAUGCUAAUACCGCAUAACAACUUUAAACACAAGUUUUAAGUUUGAAAGAUGCAAUUGCAUCACUCAAAGAUGAUCCCGCGUUGUAUUAGCUAGUUGGUGAGGUAAAGGCUCACCAAGGCGAUGAUACAUAGCCGACCUGAGAGGGUGAUCGGCCACAUUGGGACUGAGACACGGCCCAAACUCCUACGGGAGGCAGCAGUAGGGAAUCUUCGGCAAUGGACGAAAGUCUGACCGAGCAACGCCGCGUGAGUGAAGAGGGUUUUCGGAUCGUAAAACUCUGUUGGUAGAGAAGAACGUUGGUGAGAGUGGAAAGCUCAUCAAGUGACGGUAACUACCCAGAAAGGGACGGCUAACUACGUGACAGCAGCCGCCGUAA